ACGUUACUGGUAUAGAAAGAGCAAGCAUAGCAAUCCCGCCCCAUGUACACCCCCACCCAGGCCCUUUGCCUGGUCUACAUUGUGAAUGGGGGACAUGG
This 98-nucleotide small nucleolar RNA is filed under the name Sorex araneus (European shrew). RNAcentral's name for it is "Small nucleolar RNA SNORA51 (ENSSARG00000018745.1)". It matches the Rfam family "Small nucleolar RNA SNORA51", at positions 34 to 133 of the family's 133-position model. Rfam says of the family: ACA51 is a member of the H/ACA class of snoRNA that guide the sites of modification of uridines to pseudouridines. The record is from RNAcentral. Lineage: Eukaryota; Metazoa; Chordata; Mammalia; Eulipotyphla; Soricidae.